AGCAUCCGUAGCCGGUUGCAUAAGUUUUCGGUUAAAUCUAUGCGCUCAACGUAUAGGCCGCCGAAAAUACUGUGCAGCUAGGGAGUGGGAGAGGUACACGGUACUCAGUAGGAAGGGGUAAAAUCCUUUGAUCUAUUGAUGACCACCUGUGGCGAAGGCGGUGUACCAGAACACGUUCGACGGUGAGGGAUGAAAGCUGGGGGAGCAAACCGGAUUAGAUACCCGGGUAGUCCCAGCUGUAAACGAUGCAGACUCGGUGAUGCAUUGGCUUGUGGCCAAUGCAGUGCCGCAGGGAAGCCGUUAAGUCUGCCGCCUGGGAAGUACGUACGCAAGUAUGAAACUUAAAGGAAUUGGCGGGGGAGCACAAGCCGA
RNAcentral lists this ribosomal RNA (372 nucleotides) under uncultured Nitrososphaerota archaeon. Its description in RNAcentral is "bacterial SSU rRNA". It matches the Rfam family "Archaeal small subunit ribosomal RNA", at positions 514 to 889 of the family's 1478-position model. Lineage: Archaea; Thermoproteati; Nitrososphaerota. The record is from RNAcentral.